UAGAGCACCUUUGGGAUGUUGUGAAAGAGGAGUAUAAUGAAUAUGCUGCUGACAAAUCUGAAGCAACUGCCUGAUACUAUCAUGUCAGCAUGUAGCAGAAUCUGUUGGGACACAGUUUUGGUUAUCUGCCAAGGGUGAAUGAUGGAUGAGGUAAGCGGCAUCUAAUUCCAUUGGACCGGGAAGAUUCCCCUUUCUAAAAGUUCAUCCAACAGAGCUUGUGAACUAAGAAGAUACAUAUAUGGUGGCUAUAUUGUUUGUUUUGGACAUUAUCUAUUUAUAUUGCCGAAGUAGGCCAGUUUAUUUUUCCAAUUUCAAACAAAGUUUCCAUUUAUUUUCUGAGCAGGUGGAUAUAUUGUUUGUUUUUGAGAGUAUUUUUUUUUUUUGCCGAAGUAGAUCUUUUUUGGUUUGUGUUUUGAUGCAAAGUUUUUUGUUGGUUUUCUGAGCAGAUCCUGUCCCUGAAUUCUAAGUUCCCUGGGAACUCCCAUGAUGCCCAUGUCAUUAGACAAUCAGGGAUAUGGCAAAGAUUAGGAACGAUGGAAGACCAAGACAUGGCUAUUGGGAGACCGUGGAUAUCCUUGCUCACCCUGGCUUAUGACUCCUUACAGUAAACCCAGGCCAGGACCACAGUCCGCAUUUAACUCCGCGCUUACUGCCACUAGACAGCCGGUGGAGCGCAUGAUUGGUGUUCUUAAAGGGCGUUUUCGUAUGCUCCACCGCACUGGUGGCGACAUCAUGUAUUCGCCGGAGAUGAUGUUGCCGUUGGAGAUCCCACAACUUUUGCGGCCAUUCUGGCCAGCAUGCGCCAGCACCUGGAAGCCUUGCUGGAUAAUGUCUCACAGCUGCAAAAAUUUGGAUAAAAUAAAAACAUUUAAAAAAAAAAGUUUAAAAAGUUAAAUGCCC
Molecule: long non-coding RNA, 900 nt
Organism: Pseudophryne corroboree (corroboree frog)
Lineage: Eukaryota; Metazoa; Chordata; Amphibia; Anura; Myobatrachidae
Exons: 7
Source: RefSeq, a predicted model, not a curated record